GAUCAUGGCUCAGAUGACGCGGUGGCGUGCCUAAUGCAUGCAAUCGACGAUUCCUUGCCUUCGGUGAUUCCUACUGGGAACGCUGAUAACACGUUGGUGACUGCCUGAUGAGGGGUCAACCCCGUAAACUGGGAUAAUACCUCAUGUGAUCCAGAGAGUAGAGUCUUGGACGAAUUGAGCAAUCCGCUUAGGAGGGCCUGCGUCUAUCAGCUAGUUGUAGGGAACGGCCACCAAGGGACGACGGUAGGGGGCUGAGAGGGUGUUCCCCCACACUGGAAGUGAAACACGGACCAGACACCUACGGGUGCAGCAGUAGGGAAUAUUGCCCAAUGGACGAAAGUAGAGGCAGCAACGCCGCGUGCGCGAUGAAGGCCUUCGGGUCGUAAAGCUCUUUUCUGGGGGACGAGAUAGGACGGUACCCCAGGAAUAAGUCUCGGCUAACUACGUGCCAGCAGCCGCGGUAAAACGUAGGAGGCAAGCGUUAUCCGGAUUUACUGGGCGUAAAGCGCGUGCAGGCGGUCUGGUAAGUCGGACGUGAAAUCUCCUGGCUCAACUAGGAGAGGCCGUUCGAUACUGCCGGACUGGAGGGCAGCAGAGGGAGGUGGAAUUCCGGGUGUAGCGGUGAAAUGCGUAGAUAUCCGGAGGAACACCAGUGGCGAAAGCGGCCUCCUGGACUGUCCCUGACGCUAAGACGCGAAAGCUAGGGGAGUGAACGGGAUUAGAAACCCCGGUAAUCCUAGCUGUAAACGAUGCAGACUUGGUGUUGGUGGUCUAAACCCCAUCAGUGCCGUAGCAAACGCGAUAAGU
This 807-nucleotide ribosomal RNA is filed under the name uncultured Chloroflexota bacterium. Its description in RNAcentral is "bacterial SSU rRNA". It matches the Rfam family "Bacterial small subunit ribosomal RNA", at positions 15 to 865 of the family's 1533-position model. Lineage: Bacteria; Bacillati; Chloroflexota. The record is from RNAcentral.